ACGGGAGGCAGCAGUGGGGGAUAUUGGACAAUGGGGGAAACCCUGAUCCAGCGACGCCGCGUGAGUGAAGAAGUAUUUCGGUAUGUAAAGCUCUAUCAGCAGGGAAGAUGAUGACGGUACCUGACUAAGAAGCCCCGGCUAACUACGUGCCAGCAGCCGCGGUAAUACAUAGGGAGCAAGCGUUAUCCGGAUUUACUGGGUGUAAAGGGUGCGUAGGCGGCAUGGCAAGUCAGUCGUUAAAGCCCAGAGCUUAACUCUGGAUCUGCGAUUGAAAAUGUCAAGCUAGAGUACAGGAGAGGUUAGUGGAAUUACUAGUGUAGAGGUGGGAUUCAUAGAUAUUAGUAAGAACACCAAUGGCGAAGGCAGCUAACUGGCCUGAAACUGACGCUGAAGCACGAAAGUGUGGGGAGCAAACAGGAUUAGAUACCCUGGUA
Molecule: ribosomal RNA, 434 nt
Filed under: uncultured Lachnospiraceae bacterium
Lineage: Bacteria; Bacillati; Bacillota; Clostridia; Lachnospirales; Lachnospiraceae
Description: partial 16S ribosomal RNA
Rfam family: Bacterial small subunit ribosomal RNA
Source: RNAcentral